GAUGAACGCUGGCGGCGUGCUUAACACAUGCAAGUCGAGCGGAGGUACGCCAGCUUGCUGUCGUGGAUCAGUGGGGCGGGGGUGUGUAACACAUGAGCAUCCCGCCCCAGACUCUGGAAUAUGCGCUGGCAACGGCGUCUAUUACAGGAUACGAGACUGGCAACCAUGGGGAUCGUUUGGCAAGUUGUGCGGGUUUGGAUGGUCUGGCGGCUUACCAGCUUGUUGGGCAGGUAAUUGCUCACCAGGCCGACGACGGAUAGCCGGCCUGAGAGGUGGACCGGGGACACGGGGACUGAGGGACGGACCAGACGCGUACGUGAGGCAGCAGGGGGGAAUAUUGCACAGUGGGCGCAAGCCUGAGGCAGCGACGCUGCGUUAGUGAUGACGGCCUUCUGGUGGUAAACCUCUGUCAGCAGAGAAGAAGCGAUAGUGACGGUACCUGCAGAAGAAGCACCGGCUAACUACGUG
This 468-nucleotide ribosomal RNA is filed under the name uncultured bacterium. RNAcentral's name for it is "partial 16S ribosomal RNA". It matches the Rfam family "Bacterial small subunit ribosomal RNA", at positions 28 to 507 of the family's 1533-position model. The record is from RNAcentral.